This 50-nucleotide small RNA is filed under the name Arabidopsis thaliana (thale cress). RNAcentral describes it as "ATSL269700". The record is from RNAcentral. Lineage: Eukaryota; Viridiplantae; Streptophyta; Magnoliopsida; Brassicales; Brassicaceae.
UUAGAAGAUACAAAGACAAAGACUCAUACGGACUUCGACUACACUAUUAA